Long non-coding RNA from Coturnix japonica (Japanese quail), 1849 nucleotides. The record is from Ensembl. Lineage: Eukaryota; Metazoa; Chordata; Aves; Galliformes; Phasianidae.
AUGCCCGGCCCCCAGCCUCACCUGGAGCCCCCCAGUCCCACCCAACGUGCCCACCCCCAUCCAGACACCGACCCCCUCCUCCCAUGCGCCCCUAUAGGGGUUGAUACAGACCCCCCCCCCGAUCGUUCAGCCCCGGGUUGGGGUCCCCCCCUCCUGGCUCUCACCAGGGCUGGUUCUCCAGCCACUCGCCCAGGACGCAGCGCAAAUUUCGGGGGAACUCCACGAAGAUUCCUCCGAAUUCCUCCGGCGCCAUCUGGGAUACGAUGCUCCAAAGGGACAUGGUGGGAAGCGUCACCUGCGGGGGGGGGCCGCUCGGAAGGGCCGGGCCGGGCCCGAGGCCCUCAGUACAUGGCGGUGCGGGCGCGGCCGGGCUGCGGGGUUGGCCCCGCUCCGGCGGAAAGCGCCGAGGCCAGGAAGGGGGAGGAGACGAACGGGGAGCACGGGGGGGGGGACAUGGGGGGGCGGCCCCGCGGCUCCCCGGUGCCGAACCGGGGGCAGCACCGCACGUCGGGUGACCUCGGGGCUGGGUCACGGUCCCCCAAGGGCCGCAAUACAAACACCGCCCCGCGGGGGGGCUCCACGCGCGACCCCCGGGCCCACAUCGGUGUUCCUGCUCCCGUUUGGCCUCAACAGACCCCGCUGCUGCCCCCCCCCCCCCAACAACAGGCCCCCCUUCAACCGCCGGGUUGUGCGGGGCUGCGGGGUCGGGAUGGACAUGGGGGGGGUGGGGAAGCAGCCCCCCCCACACUCAACCCGUUGCUGCGGGGUCCGUGCGGGGCCACCAGGGGCCGCUGCCGCCCCGUCGGUACCGCCAACUCCGGGGGGGCCGCCGGGACCGCGGCAGCCUGAGGAGCCCCGGAGCCCCCAAAGCGGCCCCUACCGGGAACGUCCGCACCCCCCCCCCAAUAUCUGGAGCGGUGAAGCCCCCCAUGCAGCCCCCCGAGCUGCUGCCCCCCCCCCCCCCCCCCCCCCCCCCCCCCCCCCCCCGGGGGGGGGGGGUUUUAAAAAAGAAGUAAGGGAGGCCCCGGGGGGGGGGGGGGGUGGUGGUCACGGGAUGGGGAGUGACGUCACGGCUUGGCUCUGACGUCAGAGCUGUGACAUCAUCACUGCAGGGGGGGCGGGAUGUGGGGAUACAGAACGUGAUGGAGGGGUGGGCUGGGGUCGGCUGCCCCCCUCGGAUCGGGGGGGGAACAACAGCACGACCCCGCACUGUGCCCCCUCCCCACCAUCCCCAUCCCACCCCCAUCCCACGCCCCUCCCAUCCCAUCCCCACACCAUCCCCAUACACUCACACCAUUCCCAACCUACAUCGUUCUCAUCCUAUACUGCAGCCAUGCCAUGCCCCUGCCCACCCCAUCCCCAUCAUGUACCUAUAGCAUACACACCCCAUCCCCAUCCCAUCCCCAUUAUAAACCUAAACCACACUCAUCCCAUACUUCCCCCGUACCCAUAACAUCCCCAUCUCAUACCCAUUCCAUAUCGACCCCAUACCCACACCAUGCCUAUAACAUACCCAUCCCAAUAGCAAUCCUAUACCCAUCCUAUAGCAAUCCUAUACCCAUCCCUAUCCAUCCCAUGCCCCUAUCCAUCCCAUCCCUAUAUCGACCCCUUCCCAUCCCCUUCCCACCUUCAUCCCACACCCCAACCUACAACAUAGUGCCCCAUACACCAUACCCACCCCAUACCCCCCCAUACCUACCCCUACCCCCAUCCAUACCCCCAUCCAGCCCCCCCAUAUCGACCCCUUCCCAUCCCAUUCCCACCUUCAUCCCACACCCCAACCUACAGCAUAGUGCCCCAUAACCCCCCCCACCCCCCCCCCCACACCCCCCCCCUCCCCCCUCCCCCC